AGGUGGUCCGUGGCGCGUUCG
This 21-nucleotide microRNA is filed under the name Dasypus novemcinctus (nine-banded armadillo). RNAcentral's name for it is "dno-miR-323a-5p". Its record names the gene dno-miR-323a-5p. RNAcentral also lists the same sequence under 14 other names. The record is from miRBase by way of RNAcentral. Lineage: Eukaryota; Metazoa; Chordata; Mammalia; Cingulata; Dasypodidae.